RNAcentral lists this small RNA (125 nucleotides) under Marmota monax (woodchuck). The record is from RNAcentral. Lineage: Eukaryota; Metazoa; Chordata; Mammalia; Rodentia; Sciuridae.
GCCAGGUGCAUUGGCAUACAUCUGUAACCCCAGCUGCUUGGGAGGCUGAGGCAGGAGGAUCACAAGUUCAAAGCCAGCUUCAGCAAAAGCAAGGUGCUAAGCAACUCAGUGAGAUCCUGUCUCUA